GUCCUGAAGGAACGUUGAAGACGACGACGUUGAUAGGUCGGGUGUGUAAGCGCAGCGAUGCGUUGAGCUAACCGAUACUAAUGAACCGUGAGGCUUAACCUU
RNAcentral lists this ribosomal RNA (102 nucleotides) under Enterobacter hormaechei. RNAcentral's name for it is "partial 23S ribosomal RNA". It matches the Rfam family "Bacterial large subunit ribosomal RNA", at positions 2824 to 2925 of the family's 2925-position model. RNAcentral also lists the same sequence under 2 other names. Lineage: Bacteria; Pseudomonadati; Pseudomonadota; Gammaproteobacteria; Enterobacterales; Enterobacteriaceae. The record is from RNAcentral.